This 102-nucleotide microRNA precursor is filed under the name Schistosoma mansoni. Its description in RNAcentral is "microRNA sma-mir-8483 precursor". Lineage: Eukaryota; Metazoa; Platyhelminthes; Trematoda; Strigeidida; Schistosomatidae. The record is from miRBase by way of RNAcentral.
GCAAUCUGUCUUAUUUCCGUGUUAGCCGUCAGGGUCUGAUUUGUCAUGUGUAAACAGCCGUUGUCGAUUUUGACGAUAACCUAUGGUAGUAGAGUAGCUUAA